AGCAAACAGUGGCUCCAAGUUCAAAGUAUUGUUGCUCAAAUUUAAGACAAUAAAGGUUCAUUAAUUCAUGUAUUAAUUCAAUAUAUAUAUUUACAUUAGGUGCAAAGACAUAACAUUUAUUUAUUUAUUUAUUUUCCAGUACUGGGGAUCGAACUCAGGACCUUGUGCUUGCCAGGCAGUGUUUCUGGAUUCUGCAAACAUAUUUUCUAUGCAGAGGGCACCAGGAAAUAUAAGUGCCGACUCUGUAACCAAAUGGUGAGCGGGAAUUGAUGAGACAUCAUUACGGAAUACAAAAUACGUACUGUGUUUUGAUUCAGAAAGUGUUAAUUUUUUCAGAUUUCUCUCAGGCUAACUUUAUAAAUUAUGAAAAACAAAACAAACCAAAGAAUAUCAGUUUCAUCAGCUUAAGCCAUGUUACAGGUAAUUAUUGUAAAGAAUUCAUCUUUGGAGGACAAAGCCUAAGUUUAGGUCUUUCUGUGCACUGCCAGGUAGCUGCAAUGGGGUCCACAGCAGACAGGCGUGAGGACGAGCAACUUGGGCUGCUCCACUCAAAACACACUCACACUGUAAGAUGGGCUUCCCAGGCAGCACUGAACAUGACUGUAGUUUCCUUGGAGGUAGCUGGGGAUGCUUCUGAGCCAGGGAUGGGGUAGAGUUAAUUCUGGUCAGGCAAGGUCCUCCAUGGCAUUAACCAAGGAAAUUGGAAUCUUGAGCAGUUGUCUAACAAAACACAGACCUUUCACCAUGGCAUAGCAAUACCACAAGAUGGCUUUUUGUUUGUCAAUAACCUGUAAGUUAGGGACUGGGUGUGUAGCUCAGUGGUAGAGCACUUGCUUAGCCCACUUGAGUUCUUCCUACAUUUGAUCCUCUGCACUGGAACAAAAAGUAAAUAAAAAAAACAUCAAUUAGACUCUAGUAACUUGAGAGUAGAAAGGAAAACUGGUAAAACAAAUCCAUGGGAAAGAAAAGAGAACCCUUGUGCACAUGUGCAUGCAUGCAAAUACAUGCGCACACAUGUCUCUGACCAUAUCUCUCAACCACACACAGUACACAUAUGCAAAUGAAUGGUUUGAAGGCAAAGGAGAGUGGAUCAAAUAUGGAGCUCAAAAUGACUUUUCGGAACUUCAGUCAAGACUACCACCUUCUUUCUUUCAGAGAUUUAAAACGUGCAGUGAAGCGAGUCCUGCAAGCUCUGAGCAGCCAGCAGAGACCCAUUUGUAUUUGGCCAAGUGAGCAUCAGGAGGAAGAAACAUGGUCUUCUUUGGAAAGGCUAUCUUCUAGAAAUCUCAAGUGCUCCAAAAUUAGCCUGGCACAUUGGCAGAACUUCCUGCCUAUUCUGGAGGCUGGACUGGAGUCAGUGCAGUCUUUCCCAUUCCCUAGAUCUGGACGGGGACACUGGGCGGAGACAGUAGGGGUAGCUUCUUAAUGUUCUGGGGCAUUGAGUCAUGUACUUGGUAGGAGGAGCCCCUGCUGGGAUCCUGGUGUCUUUUACAAACAGGCUAUAAAACUACAUUUGAGCUCAUAAUGGCUAGGAACUAAAUGCAAUCAUUUCCUAUGGGGUUGCUAUUGUGGCUGUAUGCAAGGUCCCUUAUGUCGCUGGCAGCACUCAAACCAAGGCAGGAAUACUCUCUUCUUUCAGGUGCUGUGAAAGGAAAGAAAGCAAAGAGCCAUCACUCAGAAGAAUCUUCCCAAAGUAAGAAAAGUGUGUUAAGGAACCUGAGAGGGAAUUCAGGGGAAGGAUGACUUGUUUAUUGAGGCUGUUGGCUCAGUGUCCUGCGACCAGAAUACUGCACAGUUCUAGAGGGUUUUAGAAACAGAAUUAAUUCUGCAGACACUGCUAGGCACCUUCUGUGGGUCAGGAAAUACACUGAGUUACUGGAGAUAAAGAUGAUCCCUUUCCCAAGAUUUGGGUAAUCUAGACACGAAGAUUCUGCAGGAGAAUGUGACAAAAUAUUUAUGUCUAGGUGGUAUAAUUGCAACUAUUUUAUUGUUACUGUUACUAUUAUUAAGGUUCUGUAGCUUUGUAGAAAAGGAUAGUAUAGCUGAGUGGUUUGGGAACCCUGAUGUCUGUAAAGGGAGUGGAUGAUCAGGAAAGUAGGUGGUCAUUUAACCCUUCACAUGGUUCUUGUCUUUGCUAGGGGUGGAAAUUUGAAUUUACUUUGGGAGUAGAUUUCCUUUAAUUGCUCAUUCAGUGAUGCUAUGGGCAAGCUGAUCCUCCUCUGUGGUAAAGGAAAUAAAGGGCCUCCCUGGCCCUUCCUCCUAGUCCCCCUUUGCUAAACCACCCCAGUUCUCAGGCUUCAGUCUCUCUUCACUCUCUGGUAUCCACUGAGGGCAUUUCAACAAUUCCCUGGCUAGAUACUAUUUUUCCAUGCCAGUUUCUUCUCAGUCUGCAGGUUCAAUUUCCUUCUUGAGCCCUAGAUUUAUGUAAUCUUCCUAUACUUUUCCCCAAUAGACUCUUCUUAAAUGUACCCUUCAGGCUAUUCUCCAUCUACCAGCUAGAAUGGUGCUUAAACUGUUUUGGAGUGCUUUCAUUAAUCUAGGGACAAAAAUCCAAGAUUUCUUUCUUUUUUUAAGUACUGGAGAUUGAACCUAAGGGUCACUCAUGCCAGGCAAACUCUCUACCACAUAUCUACCAGCACUUUCUCAAAAACUUAUUUUGAGGCAGGGUUUUGCUAAAAUGCCCAGGCUAGCCUCAAACUUGAGAUCCUCCUGCCUCAGCCUCUUGAGUAGCUAGGAUUACAGGCCUGGCUUCAAAAUUAUUAACAUGCUUGCAUGACUGUGCAUGGUUGACUCUUGCUUUUUUCUCUGGCUUCAUCUCCUGUCACUCUGUCCUAAUUGUCUUUCCUUCAGAGGGGCCUGGCUCCUUCCCCACUCAGAGGCUCAAAGGCACCAUUCCCCUUAUUUGUUUGCUUGGUUUUUUGGUAUCAGGGAUCAAAUUCAGGACCUUGUACUUUCGAGGCAGGCAUGGUUCCAUUGAGCUAAAUCUCCAGCCCACCAUUCCCCUUAUUUGGAAUGAUCCCACUCCCAGGCAGGGCUGCAGGACUCUUAGAUGUUGCCUCCAUAGCCCCCAGGGUUCUGUGAACAUUUGUUGUAGCUUGAACAUUUCUAAUCUAAAAGUCUGAAAGCAGAAAUGCUUCAAGAGCCUGAUACUGUUUGAAAGCUAACAUAAUACAACUGGAAAAUUCCACACUUGACCUUAUGUGAUGGGUCCUCAAAACUUGGGCACAUUAAAAAUAUCCUGUAAAAUUACUUCAAGCCGUGGGUAUAAGAUGUAUAUGAAACAUACAUGUGUCUCAUGCUUAGAGUUGGGCCCCCUUCCCCAGGAAGUCUCAGGAAUAUGCAAAAAUUGCAAAAGCUGAAAAACCAGAAACCCCAAACACUUCUAGUCCCGAGCAUUUCAGAUAAGGGAUAUGCAACCUGUGUUAUACGCUUUACAUCAUCACAGCAUUUAUGAGAUACAAAAAUAACUAUCUGUAAGAUUGUUUACUGUCCCCCUCAGAUUGUAACAAUUAUAGAUUAUAUCCCUGCUGCCCAGCACAGGGCCAGGGGUUGAGUAGACACUCAGUACAUGGACUAUUAAAUGAGUUAAAUGAGGAUUAGGAACUAAAUUCUCUUCCUAUCAAGAUACGAAUGUUCAUUUUUACUGACAGACUCUAACUCCACAGUUCUUUUCUUGUCUAGUGGAACGGAACCAGGAGUGUAGACCAAUGAACCACCUGUGCUGUCUGCCAGGUCUGUGACAUUGCCGUCUGCCUCCAGUGGGGGCGCAGUGAGACUCCUCCCCUGUGGAGACUUGUUGCUUCUCUGCCUCCUAUCAGGGUGCCAGCUGAGGAGAGAGACAACCUGUGGAGAGUCCCGUGGACGUUUUCAUGUCUUCAGAACUAUUACUUGGUUUUAGUAUUUUUCGUUUUCCUUCUGUAAUUUCCUUCUGUCUGCCCAAAAGCCUCCAUCAGAUUUUGCUGAUCUCUCAGUCUGGUCCUAGCUGUGUGAUGAGAAGCUGGGAGAGGCGUCAUCUGCACCUCCAACAGAGGUGAAGCGGCUGGGGAGGAAUGAUAAGAGGCAGCCUGCAGCAGAGAGAUGUCAGGAACAGAACGGCUGGCUGAGGGGGACAAGUCCCUGCGGGUGGGCGGGAAGAGACUUGUGGAGAUGCUGGUAUUCACCCUGAAUGUGAAUGGAGAUUUUGGAAGAGAAAGCUGGACAGCACCCGGAUCUUCUGAAGUGACCCAGUGUACCAGUUGUCAACACAUUGUCUCUCAGCCUCAAUGUCACCCUAUACCUUCUUUGUAAAAGUGGAGCUGGGCCCCUUUAAUAACUGCUAUUGUCUGCAGGUUGGGUAGUUAGCAGGCAGAGGUCUAGAGACACCCAGGAGGACCAGUUUUCCUAGUGGCUGCUGGGCUCUUGGGCUAGGCAGGCUUCUGCAGGUGGGUAGCUUCACCAGGAGCACUUAGCCUGCAGUACCACCCUUGAGGGCUUUGGUAGUGAAGUGCUUUCAGAGGGGUAUCUUCAUGCGAACAGCUCCCUCUACACCCUAAAAAAGUAGAUGUCCAGCAAGUCCUAAAGUGGGAAUGUCCAGCUUUUUCUUUAUGGCAUGAACCAUAAAGACACCUCCGCUAUUUAGAUGGCUUGCCCACCCAAAGGGGAUCUGGACUCAGCCCCAUUGGAAGGGGAAGGGAAAGCUCACCCUGGCGUGCUUUGUCUCAACCCUAGGAAUGUGGCUCCUUAAAUCUUCUGUUUGCUAUUCCUAUUUUCUUUCGAUUUCUCUUCUUACCUAGCCUAUCCCUUCUUACUCCAAAUCCUAUUACAGUUG
Heterocephalus glaber (naked mole-rat) is the source of this 4807-nucleotide long non-coding RNA. The record is from Ensembl. NCBI's taxonomy places the organism in Eukaryota, Metazoa, Chordata, Mammalia, Rodentia, Bathyergidae.